Molecule: long non-coding RNA, 496 nt
Organism: Meriones unguiculatus (Mongolian gerbil)
Lineage: Eukaryota; Metazoa; Chordata; Mammalia; Rodentia; Muridae
Exons: 3
Source: RefSeq, a predicted model, not a curated record
UUGGAAGCCAGAAGAGGACAUUAGCUCUUUUGGAACUAGAAUUCUAGGUGGCUGAAAGCUACCGGAUGUGGGUGCUGGAACCAAACUCUGUUCCCCUGCAAGAGCAGUAAGGAUUCUGAACCUCUGAGCCAUCUCUCCAGCCCCCAAUAUCAUGCGAUUCUUUUAAGGGGUACAAGACAUCUGGAAGCUGGGGCUCCAGGAAGCGUGUCCCAUACCCUGUUCUGGUGGACUUCAGCAAGCAGCGCAGGAGAGACUGCAGCAGCCCGAGAUAAGCUUGGGUGAGGAGAGGAAGCCAAGAGGUGAAGAUGUCCUGCAGCCCCGUCACUGACAGUUCAGAAACAAAGAAACUACAUUUCCACACCCACAUUCCUUGCUGUAACUCCUCAAAGGCCUGGGGAUCACCUUGUCCUCAUCAAGAUUGCUACCCAGAUAAUUCACAAUACUCAUCUGGUCCACUGGGUUCAUGCCAAGCUGAACUAUAUGAGAUCCGGCCUCA